UACAGAGGGGGCAAGCGUUAUUCGGAAUUACUGGGCGUAAAGGGCGCGUAGGCGGCUUGACAAGUCACUUGUGAAAUCUCCGGGCUUAACUCGGAACGGCCAAGUGAAACUGUCAUGCUAGAGUGCAGAAGGGGCAAUCGGAAUUCUUGGUGUAGCGGUGAAAUGCGUAGAUAUCAAGAGGAACACCUGAGGUGAAGACGGGUUGCUGGGCUGACACUGACGCUGAGGCGCGAAAGCCAGGGGAGCAAACGGG
RNAcentral lists this ribosomal RNA (253 nucleotides) under uncultured bacterium. RNAcentral describes it as "partial 16S ribosomal RNA". It matches the Rfam family "Bacterial small subunit ribosomal RNA", at positions 524 to 776 of the family's 1533-position model. The record is from RNAcentral.